Molecule: ribosomal RNA, 497 nt
Filed under: uncultured bacterium
Lineage: Bacteria
Description: partial 16S ribosomal RNA
Rfam family: Bacterial small subunit ribosomal RNA
Source: RNAcentral
GAUGAACGCUGGCGGCGUGCCUAAUACAUGCAAGUCGAGCGAACAGACGAGGAGCUUGCUCCUCUGACGUUAGCGGCGGACGGGUGAGUAACACGUGGAUAACCUACCUAUAAGACUGGGAUAACUUCGGGAAACCGGAGCUAAUACCGGAUAAUAUAUUGAACCGCAUGGUUCAAUAGUGAAAGACGGUUUUGCUGUCACUUAUAGAUGGAUCCGCGCCGCAGUAGCUAGUUGGUAAGGUAACGGCUUACCAAGGCAACGAUGCGUAGCCGACCUGAGAGGGUGAUCGGCCACACUGGAACUGAGACACGGUCCAGACUCCUACGGGAGGCAGCAGUAGGGAAUCUUCCGCAAAGGGCGAAAGCCUGACGGAGCAACGCCGCGUGAGUGAUGAAGGUCUUCGGAUCGUAAAACUCUGUUAUUAGGGAAGAACAAAUGUGUAAGUAACUAUGCACGUCUUGACGGUACCUAAUCAGAAAGCCACGGCUAACUACGUG